RNAcentral lists this ribosomal RNA (253 nucleotides) under uncultured bacterium. Its description in RNAcentral is "partial 16S ribosomal RNA". It matches the Rfam family "Bacterial small subunit ribosomal RNA", at positions 524 to 776 of the family's 1533-position model. The record is from RNAcentral.
UACGUAGGGUGCGAGCGUUAAUCGGAAUUACUGGGCGUAAAGCGUGCGCAGGCGGUUCGUUGUGUCGGUGGUGAAAGCUCGGGGCUCAACCUCGAGUCGGCCGUGCGAACUGCUGGGCUCGAGCACUGUAGAGGCAGGCGGAAUUCCGGGUGUAGCGGUGGAAUGCGUAGAGAUCCGGAAGAACACCGGUGGCGAAGGCGGCCUGCUGGGCAGUGGCUGACACUGAGGCGCGACAGCGUGGGGAGCAAACAGG